UGGCUCAGGAUGAACGCUGGCGGCGCGCCUAACACAUGCAAGUCGAACGGCGAAGUCCCGUUCGGGGACGGAACAGUGGCGGACGGGUGAGUAACGCGUGAGUAACCUGCCCUUAUGAGCGGAAUAACGUCGGGAAACUGACGCUAAUACCGCAUAACGCACGGAAGUGGCAUCGCUUCCGUGCCAAAGAUUUAUCGCAUAAGGAUGGACUCGCGUCCCAUUAGACAGUUGGCGGGGUAACAGCCCACCAAAUCAGCGAUGGGUAGCCGGACUGAGAGGUUGAACGGCCACAUUGGAACUGAGAGACGGUCCAGACUCCGUACGGGAGGCAGCAGGUGGGGAAUAGUUGGGCAAGUGGGCGAAAGCCUGAACCCCAGCGACGCCGCGUGAGCGAAGAAGGUCUUCGGAUUAGUAAAGCUCUGUGUACAGGGACGAUAAUGACGGUACCUGUAUAGAAAGCCACGGCUAACUACGUGCCAGCCGCGGC
RNAcentral lists this ribosomal RNA (487 nucleotides) under uncultured bacterium. Its description in RNAcentral is "bacterial SSU rRNA". It matches the Rfam family "Bacterial small subunit ribosomal RNA", at positions 20 to 518 of the family's 1533-position model. The record is from RNAcentral.